CUAGAAAGAUCCGGUUGAUCCUGCCGGAGGCUACUGCUAUCGGGGUCCGACUAAGCCAUGCGAGUUGAGAGGGGUAAGCCCUCGGCAUAUUGCUCAGUAACACGCGGAUAACCUGCCCUUGGGUUUGGGAUAACCCCGGGAAACUGGGACUAAUACCGGAUAGAUCAAAGAUACUGGAAUGUUCUUUGUUCGAAAGCUCCGGCGCCCAAGGAUGGGUCUGCGGCCUAUCAGGUAGUAGUGGGUGUAACGUACCUACUAGCCUACGACGGGUAAGGGUUGUGAGAGCAAGAGCCCUGAGAUGGAUUCUGAGACAUGAAUCCAGGCCCUACGGGGUGCAGCAGGCGCGAAAACUUUACACUGCGGGAAACCGCGAUAAGGGGACCCCGAGUGCCAGCACCUAGUGCUGGCUGUCCAGCUGUUCAAAAAACAGUUGUUAGCAAGGGCCGGGCAAGACCGGUGCCAGCCGCCGCGGUAACACCGGCGGCCCGAGUGGUAGCCGUUAUUAUUGGGUUUAAAGGGUCCGUAGCCGGCCUAUUAAGUCUCUUGGGAAAUCUGGCGACUCAAUCGUCAGGCGUUCAAGAGAUACUGGUAGGCUUGGGACCGGGAGAGGUGGGAGGUACUCCAGGGGUAGGGGUGAAAUCUCGUAAUCCUUGGGGGACCACCGAUGGCGAAGGCAUCCCACCAGAACGGGUCCGACGGUGAGGGACGAAAGCUGGGGGCACGAACCGGAUUAAAUACCCGGGUAGUCCCAGCUGUAAACGAUGCUCGCUAGGUGUCAGGUGCGGUGCGACCGCAUCUGGUGCCGUAGUGAAAACUUGAAGCGAGUCACCUGGGAAGUACGGUCGCAAGGCUGAAACUUAAAGGA
Molecule: ribosomal RNA, 865 nt
Filed under: uncultured ANME-2 cluster archaeon
Lineage: Archaea; Methanobacteriati; Methanobacteriota; Methanomicrobia; Methanosarcinales
Description: bacterial SSU rRNA
Rfam family: Archaeal small subunit ribosomal RNA
Source: RNAcentral